RNAcentral lists this ribosomal RNA (877 nucleotides) under uncultured Peptococcaceae bacterium. RNAcentral describes it as "bacterial SSU rRNA". It matches the Rfam family "Bacterial small subunit ribosomal RNA", at positions 108 to 995 of the family's 1533-position model. Lineage: Bacteria; Bacillati; Bacillota; Clostridia; Eubacteriales; Peptococcaceae. The record is from RNAcentral.
GAUUGUAACGCGUGGAUAACCUGCCCUUUAGACCGGGAUAACGCCGGGAAACCGGUGCUAAUACCGGAUACGUUCAGCUGGCUGCAUGGGCAGCUGAGGAAAGGAGUAAUCCGCUAAAGGAUGGGUCCGCGUCCCAUUAGCUUGUUGGUAGGGUAACGGCCUACCAAGGCGACGAUGGGUAGCCGGCCUGAGAGGGCGACCGGCCACACUGGAACUGAGACACGGUCCAGACUCCUACGGGAGGCAGCAGUGGGGAAUCUUCCGCAAUGGGCGCAAGCCUGACGGAGCAACGCCGCGUGAGUGACGAAGGUCUUCGGAUUGUAAAACUCUGUCCAGAGGGAAGAAGCAAGUGACGGUACCUCUGGAGGAAGCCCCGGCUAACUACGUGCCAGCAGCCGCGGUAAAACGUAGGGGGCGAGCGUUGUCCGGAAUUACUGGGCGUAAAGGGCGUGUAGGCGGCUUGGUAAGUCAGUCGUGAAACCUACCGGCUCAACCGGUAGCUGGCGAUUGAAACUGCCGGGCUUGAGUGCAGUAGAGGGGAGUGGAAUUCCCAGUGUAGCGGUGAAAUGCGUAGAUAUUGGGAGGAACACCAGUGGCGAAAGCGGCUCCCUGGCCUGUAACUGACGCUGAGGCGCGAAAGCGUGGGUAGCAAACAGGAUUAGAUACCCUGGUAGUCCACGCCGUAAACGAUGGGUGCUAGGUGUUGGGGGUAUCGACCCCUCCAGUGCCGCAGUUAACGCAAUAAGCACCCCGCCUGGGGAGUACGGCCGCAAGGCUGAAACUCAAAGGAAUUGACGGGGGCCCGCACAAGCGGUGGAGUAUGUGGUUUAAUUCGACGCAACGCGAAGAACCUUACCAGGUCUUGACAUCCCCUGCC